CUCCAAUUUGGCGGCGUUAAGUGCCCGAACAUACUCGAUAGCUUUCUCUUGGGGUCGAAGGUUCGGAUCAAAAUUUCGAAAAACUCUCUGAAGAUCUUGGCGAGUCAAUUCAUCAGUGGAGCGUGAUAUUACUUUGACCUUCAUAGCUUAGGGUUUUUGGUUUUAGGGUUUAACUUAUUUUCAAUGAUAUAAGAGUUGCGAAAUUUCUG
This 209-nucleotide unclassified non-coding RNA is filed under the name Hevea brasiliensis (rubber tree). The record is from RNAcentral. Lineage: Eukaryota; Viridiplantae; Streptophyta; Magnoliopsida; Malpighiales; Euphorbiaceae.